RNAcentral lists this ribosomal RNA (1515 nucleotides) under human gut metagenome. Its description in RNAcentral is "bacterial LSU rRNA". It matches the Rfam family "Bacterial large subunit ribosomal RNA", at positions 1390 to 2925 of the family's 2925-position model. The record is from RNAcentral.
CCUAAGGCGAGGUCGAAAGACGUAGUCGAUGGAUAACAGGUUGAAAUUCCUGUACCGCAUAUAAACAGAACUGUGGGGACACAGACAGGGAAUGGAAUCCGGGAAUGGAGAUCCCGGUGCAAGCGAGGUAGGAGUAUCGUUGGCAAAUCCGCGAUACUGAUCUGAAGACGUGACGCGUACCGAACAUAAGUAGGGAAGUCCAGGCCCCUGGCUGUCAAGAAAAGCCGCUAUCGUUUUAUAUGUGCCCGUACCGCAAACCGACACAGGUGGAUGAGGAGAGAAUCCUAAGGCCGACGGGAGAAGUAUUGUUAAGGAACUCGGCAAAAUGACUCCGUAACUUCGGGAGAAGGAGUGCCAUGAGAGUGGCCGCAGAGAAAUGGCCCAAGCAACUGUUUAGCAAAAACACAGGUCUAUGCAAAACCGCAAGGUGAAGUAUAUGGGCUGACGCCUGCCCGGUGCUGGAAGGUUAAGGGGAGAGGUUAGCGCAAGCGAAGCUUUGAACUUAAGCCCCAGUAAACGGCGGCCGUAACUAUAACGGUCCUAAGGUAGCGAAAUUCCUUGUCGGGUAAGUUCCGACCCGCACGAAAGGCGUAAUGAUUUGGGCACUGUCUCAACGAUACACCCGGUGAAAUUGAAAUACCAGUGAAGAUGCUGGUUACCUGCGCCAGGACGGAAAGACCCCAUGGAGCUUUACUCCAGUUUGAUACUGGGAUUCGGCAUGGUAUGUACAGGAUAGGUGGGAGACUGAGAUGGUAUGGCGUCAGCUGUACCGGAGUCGCUGUUGGGAUACCACCCUUACCAUGUUGGAUUUCUAACCUGUGGCCGUGAACCGGUCAGGGGACAAUGUCAGGCGGGGAGUUUGACUGGGGCGGUCGCCUCCGAAAGGGUAUCGGAGGCGCUCAAAGGUUCCCUCAGAAUGGUUGGAAACCAUUCGAAGAGUGCAAAGGCAGAAGGGAGCUUGACUGCGACACCGACGGGUGGAGCAGGUACGAAAGUAGGACUUAGUGAUCCGGUGGUAUAAAGUGGGAUUGCCAUCGCUCAACGGAUAAAAGCUACCCUGGGGAUAACAGGCUUAUCACUCCCAAGAGUUCACAUCGACGGAGUGGUUUGGCACCUCGAUGUCGGCUCAUCGCAUCCUGGAGCUGUAGCAGGUUCCAAGGGUUGGGCUGUUCGCCCAUUAAAGCGGUACGCGAGCUGGGUUCAGAACGUCGUGAGACAGUUCGGUCCCUAUCCGGCGCAGGCGGAGGAAAUUUGAUAGGAGCUGUCCUUAGUACGAGAGGACCGGGAUGGACGGACCGCUGGUGUAUCUGUUGUACUGCCAAGUGCAUAGCAGAGUAGCCAAGUCUGGAAGGGAUAAACGCUGAAGGCAUCUAAGCGUGAAGCCCCCCUAAAGAUAAGAUUUCCCAUACCGUAAGGUAGUAAGACCCCUUGAAGACGACGAGGUAGAUAGGGCAGAGGUGGAAGUACGGUAACGUAUGGAGCUGACUGUUACUAAUCGGUCGAGGCUUUAACCAA